CUCGGAGAUUCAAAAGAGAGCAGUAAGCGAUGGCGCACAUCAUUCGUGUCAAGGGCAGGGACCGUCUUGACCUGAGUUCUCAGUCGCCGUUCGUCAAGGACCGCACGGCGCCCUCGCUGGGAUUGCUACCAUGGCAACAAAGAAACCGAAUCAUCUUAGCUGAUACGAAAACCCAAUUUGGAACGCCCCCGGUU
This is a long non-coding RNA of Penaeus chinensis, 194 nucleotides long. RefSeq lists it as uncharacterized. The transcript is spliced from 3 exons. The record is from RefSeq and is a predicted model, not a curated record. NCBI's taxonomy places the organism in Eukaryota, Metazoa, Arthropoda, Malacostraca, Decapoda, Penaeidae.